AUUUUUUUUUUUUUUUUUUCAUAAAAUUUCAUUGCAUUUGAUGAAGGAGAUAGCUUUGGCAAACAGCUUGUGUGCUUCAUCUGACGAUCGGGCUGGGGAGGAAGCUAACGGCACUGGUGCUCUCUGCAUUUCUCAAUUUCACUCUUGUGCCUGGUUCUCACUCUGAGGUCCAUGUCUGACUGUCUGCUUAUCUUCCUAAGGAAACACUUUUGAGCCUAUGUGAUCAAGCAAAAUUGAGGUCUAGAUCACUGUGACUUGGAGCAGACUCAAAUCAGCAGGCAUUGCUUUGCAGUUCCAGGCUCUUCUUAGGAAUUAGGAUGUGCCUUUUGGAUUAUUUUUCUAAUUUCUAUUAAUAAAUAAGUUUUGUGUUUUUAACUGAUCUAUCUUGAAAUUAAAUGGGAAAUGCAUUACAUUUACAAUUUUUGUUGGAUGGUUAAAUUAGAAAUUUACUUAAUGAAUAAUUGCAUCUUAGUUUCCAAUUGAGCUAGGUUUCCAAAAAUCAUUUUUGGUUGGAAUGUGUUCUUUCCUUUCUGAAGCUCCCCUCUGUGCUUUUAUUAUUGAAAUGCGUUGAUGUAAAUUAUUUGUAAUCUGUCAAGUUCUGGAUAUCUUCUGUGCGGUGCCUAUUAUUGGGUUGUUUUUCCCGACUCUAUCUUCUGUAUUCUUAUUUGCUCUCUGUUGAUCCCAUUCUUGGGUCAUUGUAGUUUUGUUUCUUAAUAUUGAACAUGGC
This 727-nucleotide unclassified non-coding RNA is filed under the name Hevea brasiliensis (rubber tree). The record is from RNAcentral. Lineage: Eukaryota; Viridiplantae; Streptophyta; Magnoliopsida; Malpighiales; Euphorbiaceae.